AACGAACGCUGGCGGCAGGCUUAACACAUGCAAGUCGAACGCAUCCUUCGGGGUGAGUGGCAGACGGGUGAGUAACGCGUGGGAACGUGCCCUUCAGUUCGGGAUAACCCAGGGAAACUUGGGCUAAUACCGGAUACGUGCGAGAGCAGAAAGAUUUAUCGCUGAAGGAUCGGCCCGCGUCUGAUUAGCUAGUUGGUGGGGUAAUGGCCCACCAAGGCGACGAUCAGGAGCUGGUCUGAGAGGAUGAUCAGCCACAUUGGGACUGAGACACGGACCCACCUCGUACGGGAGGCAGCAGUGGGGAAUAUUGGACAAUGAGCGCAAGCCUGAUUCAGCCAUGCCGCGUGAGUGAUGAAGGCCUUGGGGUUGUAAAGCUCUUUCGUCCGGGACGAUAAAGACGGUACCGGAAGAAGAAGCCCCGGCUAACUUCGUGCCAGCAGCCGCCGUAA
This 449-nucleotide ribosomal RNA is filed under the name uncultured bacterium. RNAcentral's name for it is "partial 16S ribosomal RNA". It matches the Rfam family "Bacterial small subunit ribosomal RNA", at positions 29 to 523 of the family's 1533-position model. The record is from RNAcentral.